Molecule: ribosomal RNA, 852 nt
Filed under: uncultured crenarchaeote
Lineage: Archaea; Thermoproteati; Thermoproteota
Description: bacterial SSU rRNA
Rfam family: Archaeal small subunit ribosomal RNA
Source: RNAcentral
CCCCACUGCUAUCGGGAUAGGACUAAGACAUGCUAGUUGAGCGCUUCCAGCCAAUACGGGAGCGCGGCGCACGGCUCAGUAACACGUGGCUAACCUGCCCUUGGGACCGGAACACCCCCGGGAAACUGGGGCUAAUUCUCGAUAGGUGAAGAACUCUGGAAUGAGUCUUCGCCCAAAAGAUGCUAGAGUUAUGCUCUUUGGCAUCGCCCAAGGAUGAGGCCGCGACCGAUCAGGUUGUUGGUGAGGUAAUGGCUCACCAAGCCUUUUACCGGUGCGGGCCGUGAGAGCGGGAGCCCGGAGAUGGGCACUGAGACAAGGGCCCAGGCCCUACGGGGCGCAGCAGUCGCGAAAACUUUGCAAUACACGAAAGUGUGACAGGGCUAUCCCGAGUGCCAUCCGCUGAGGAAGGCUUUUACCCAGUCUAGAACGCUGGGGGAAUAAGGAGAGGGCAAGUCUGGUGUCAGCCGCCGCGGUAAUACCAGCUCUCCGAGUGGUGUGGAUGUUUAUUGGGCCUAAAGCAUCCGUAGCUGGCUAAGUUAGUCCCUUGUUAAAUCCACCGAAUUAAUCGUUGGAUUGCGGGGGAUACUGCUUGGCUAGGGGACGAGAGAGGCAGACGGUAUUUCCGGGGUAGGGGUGAAAUCCUAUAAUCCCGGGAAGACCACCAGUGGCGAAGGCUGUCUGCUAGAACGCGCCCGACGGUGAGGGAUGAAAGCUGGGGGAGCGAACCGGAUUAGAUACCCGGGUAGUCCCAGCUGUAAACGAUGCAGGCUAGGUGUUUGGACGGCCACGUGCCGUUCUAGUGGCGCAGGGAAGCUGUUAAGCCUGCCGCCUGGGGAGUACGGUCGCAAGAUU